AUGUCUCCCUCCGGGGAGGUGGUCGCCUCCGUCUCCUCCGCGCUCGCCGUCCUGCUCGUCCUCCUCGCCUGCGUCGAGCUCGGCGACGCGGCCGCCGCCGUCGGCGUCUACCGCCUCAUCCAGUACGACCUCGCCGGCGCCCCGCUCGGCUCCCGCGCCGCCGCGCUCAACCACCACGCCGCCGCCUUCCCGCUCCCCGCGGGGGCUGACCUCUCCCGCUCCGCGCUCGUCGCGCCGCUGCUCGACCUCCCGCUCUCCUUCCUCCGAGAGUACCUGUCAGAGAAAAAACAUCUUGGAGGGUUGCUCAUUCUGCUCCCGAGAAACAUCAGCGCUAAGAAUGUUGAGGGAAACAACGAUGACAAGGGGGAACCAAAGAAUGUGCUGGCUGAGCUAGAAAAGUUGCUCAUGCAUGAAGAAGUGCCGUUUCCAGUGUACUUCGCUUUCCAUGAUGACAAUUUGGAUAACCUAUUGGCAGAUAUUCGUAAAAUUGCCUCUUCAGGCCAGCCAGCCUCUGCAUCAACAGGAGGAUACAAGCUUGUAGUGCCUUCUGCGGAACCUAAAAGGGUGUCAUCUCCAACCAUUUCAAAUAUCCAGGGAUGGUUACCUGGAUCGAGAGGAGAGGGUGAUGCUGAACAGCUUCCAACCAUUGCCAUAGUUGCAAACUAUGACACUUUUGGUGCUGCACCUGCGCUUUCCGUGGGAAGUGAUAGCAAUGGAAGUGGAGCUGUGGCUCUUCUAGAAAUUGCAAGGAUCUUUUCACGCCUCUAUUCAAGUCCUAAGACCAGAGGCAAGUUUAAUCUUCUCUUUGGAUUAACAUCUGGCGGACCCUACAAUUACAAUGGAACUAGCAAGUGGCUUAGAAGUUUCGAUCAGCGUGUACGCGAGAGUAUUGACUAUGCAAUUUGCUUGAAUAGCGUUGGUUCCUGGAGCAAUGAUCUCUGGAUGCAUGUAUCAAAGCCUCCAGAGAACCCUUACAUCAAGCAAAUCUUUGAAGAUUUUUCAGAUGUCUCCAAGGAAAUGGGCAUUUCAGUCGGCAUCAAGCACAAGAAAAUUAAUGUGUCAAAUUCUAGAGUAGCAUGGGAACAUGAGCAAUUCUCGAGGUUUAGGGUGACUGCGCUAACUCUUUCGGAAUUGUCUACACCUCCUGAAUUUUUGGAAAACACUGGUGGUCUGUACGACACUAGAGAAUCAGCAGAUGUUGAGUCAGUAAUGAGAACUGUCAAAUUAGUUUCUGAGAGUCUUGCGAGACAAAUCUACAGGUUGAGAGGAAGGAACAUUGAUGUUUUUGCUGAUAACAGCAGCUUAGCCAUCAGUCCUCACUACAUCCGGUCCUGGUUGGAUCUUUUUUCACGGACACCACGGGUUGCACCUUUUCUUCAGAAGAAUGACCCCUUCAUUGUAGCACUUAAAAAGGAACUGUCCGAGCAUACAACUGAUGUGCAUGUUCAAAAUGACGUCCUUGAUGGCAUGUUCACUUUCUAUGAUGCAACAAAGUCAACUUUAAACGUAUACCAGGUUGCAAGUGUUACUUUCGACCUGUUGUUCCUUCUGGUGCUCGGUUCCUAUCUAAUUGUUCUCUUCAGUUUCCUAGUAAUCACAACACGGGGCCUCGACGAUCUCAUUAACAUAUUCCGGCGGCCUCCAUCACGUAAAGUCAAGGGAGCAUAG
This 1668-nucleotide ribosomal RNA is filed under the name Triticum aestivum (bread wheat). Its description in RNAcentral is "partial small subunit ribosomal RNA". The record is from RNAcentral. Lineage: Eukaryota; Viridiplantae; Streptophyta; Magnoliopsida; Poales; Poaceae.